CUGGGCCCAGGUGAGGCCAGCCCCAGUGACAUCCCAGGCACCCUGCUGUUGGGAAGACAAGGGUGAAUGUCCUUGAAAUGAAGAGGUCAGUUUGCUAGUCUCGGGUGGGUGCCACGGUUGUGUGGGAUGGUGGUGGUGUUGUGGAUGUGUGGGCAAUGCCACAUGCUGGUUAUUCUUGGUUUGUGGGAGCUACGCUCCCCUUGUCCACAACGACAGGCAAGUGAAAGAGCUGGGCUCUGAAGUUAAGCAGAGGGGUUGUAGCACCAGCUUUGUGGGUUGGGUCUACGCCUCAAAUCUGUGUGCUGCCUCGGUUUCCUCUCGUAAAUGGAGCUCGUGAUAACAACCUUACAAGAUGUCAAGUGCAUCAGCGAUCCUACCUGACACAGUCGGCAGAGUGGUCCUUCUAUAAAUUAUAGCAAUGAUUAACUUCUCAAUCACAGCAGGUAAAUAAAUGGGGAGAUACGUUAGAUUUUUUUUUGGAUCUUUCCUGAUUUGCUUUGAUCUUUCAUAUAACGCACAAAUUAUCCUGAAGAGCAAAGAAAUGAAAGAAGCUUUGCAAAGCCAAAUAAGUUUGUGUUUCUCGUAAAACUGUCUAAUCAAAAUGCUGUCUAUUAACUCUGAUGUCAGGUGACCUUUGGCUCUGAAUUGGUGUGUUGUGGCAGAGGGAGUUCAACUUGUUCUCAAGAUUUCUGUUUUUGGCUGUAGUAAAGCAUAAAAGGGAGGAGACAUUUCUUUAGUGGGCAACUAUAGGGAGACUUUAAAAUAGUGCCCUUCUAGUCCUUCCCUUAGGAAGGAAGGAAGGAAGGAAGGAAGGAAGGAAGGAAGGAAGGAAGGAAGGAAGGAAGGAAGGAAGGAAGGAAGAGUUCUCUCAAGGAAAUUCAUGGUAACUAGAAACUCAGUGCAUGGAAACACAGGUCAUUACAUUGUGGACCAGGAUCUAAAACUUUAUCUGAUAAUUUCUCUUGCAUUGUGUCAGGGCCAAGGAUGAAAAUAACUGUCAUGGUCUAAUAUCUGUUUAUAUUUCAUGCAUGACUCAGUUUGUGAAUCAUCUUAUGAGGAGUUUGCUGGUUACUUCAGGGUAGUUUCCAUCAACAGAACCUGUAUGCGGGGAACAGAGAAGCGUCCACACUUGCGUGAGUCCCCAUGCACAGUGGUUGGUUGGGUGCAGGGACUUUGAAGGGACCAGCCAGGAUGCACAACCAGGCUGCAGGGGGGACAACGAUGAGGAAGUUCUCCUGCAGACAUCUCAUCACCACCUUCUUGCUGCUCUCUGAAGGUCAAGUUCUGGGCUUCUACCUGCCUGGACCAGUCUAUAGCUGAUUCUCAUCAUUCACAGAUACAACAUUUUAUUAACUUGCCUCAAACACUGAAUUGUCAAAUACUGAACUAUUGCUUCAUGAGGAAGUGGAGAAUCCGCUCCUGUGUGCCUCUGGCCACGUUUUCAUCGAAUGAUCGACAGAUUUGUUUUAUCCAUGUUUCUGCUGAAAGACACCUUAUGUCCCAUGAACUGUUGAUCCAUAAACACGGACCUCAAGGACAAUAGUACCUUGUCUUAGGUCUGAACGAAGCCUCUCCAACACACUCUGUUUUACCUGGCUUGGGAGUGGACAGUGGAGGCUUAUCCGCUUAGGAAAAUUGGGUAGUAUGUUAGCAUGGUGCUUGGGCCAUUCAAAACAGUGAAAUCACCACUGAAAAGCACCAGAACCCAAGACAUGGUAGCUGAAAGGUGCAGGAGGCUCUGGUGCGCAGUGCGGGGGCUGAGCAAGGCGGGGAGGCGCCUUGGUGGGCCUGCUGGGAGCACCGGCAUCUAAGUGACUUGGCUUGUUGCUCUGCACACAUCCUUGAGGGCAGGAGAAAGUGCCUCGUUAAAUUAAAUCCAGUUUGUGCCUGGGGAGGCCUCCUGCUUAAUUCCAAGUGUGGUCAGCUGUGACCUGGCUUGGUACGGGGGCCAGCUGUGUGUGCCCAUAGGAGUGUGCUCAUGAACUGGCCUCCCUCACAGUGGCAGGCUCAGCCAGCCCCUGUGGCCUGUUGAUUCAAUCAAACACUGAGUCAUAACCCAUUGAGGAGUCUGGUGCCACUUAUGUUCUCUGUCCAUAAAUGCUGUCUGUCGACUUCACAGGCCUGAAUUCCCUGAACAUCUUCUUAUUCUGAGGCUGUUCAACUCCAGAAUCAAGAACAAAAGCCAGCGGAAGUCUUUCAAUUUGUUGUGACUUUGACUUGUGAUUUAAUGAGAAGGUGUAUUUGCAGACACGUUAUCCGGGAAUAAUGAGGAUUGACUCUGUGACUCUGGCUCUCGUGGCCUCGGCCUCUGUGUUUAACACCAGUCCUGAGAAGACUCUGUUCUGCUCUGCUUGGAUCAGGAUCCAGUUGGCUGGGGCUGGCACUUGGGGUUGGGGCUGGGGCUUAAUGAGGAGGCUGUUCUCCUGGCACUUGGGUUGGUGGUGAUAUUGGCAUCUUGGUCUCCUUUGUAUUACUUGGAAAGAUGCACUUGGCAACCCAAAUGCUGGUGGGUAUCAGAGGUCAGAAGUGAAAGGACUGAUUUUUUUUUGAAUUUUUGAUACCAGGGAUUAAACUCAGGGACACUCAACCAAUGGGCCAUAUCCUUAGUCCUUUUGAUAUUUUAUUUAGAGACAGGAUCUCACUGAGUUUUUUAGUGCCUCGCUAAGUUGCUGAGGUUGGCUUUGAAUUUGCCAUCCUCCCUCCUUAGUCUCCCGAGCCUCUGAGAAAGGACUAUUUUUUAUAAUUGGCUGUAGUUCUGUUUUUCUUCACCCCCUAAGGUGUCUGGGACCCCAGAGAAAGGUAGUGUGCAUGUGGUCCUGUUGUGGACCAUUUUCUCUUCCUUUGUGUGCGAGGGUCACACACUUACCUCGUGGGGGUCAGUGUCAUAAUGAUCCAGUACCCCUCCCUAGCACAUGCAAACACAGGACCUGUGCAGUGCUCUGUAUGGGGGCCAUGUGGCCUGACCAAGCCCUUGUCUGCUCGCAACUUCCACCCGAGACUGUCAGAGUGUGUUUAGGUACAGGGCUGUAUGCAGCUGUAUGGCAGCUGGUCCUGUCUGCCUGAAUGGGUGAGCUUGGCACUCCACCUAAGGCUCACGCUGAACUCCGAGGGGAUCAACAAGCCGCUCUUAUGUAAGGGCAAGGAGAAGGUCCAGCCCCAGCAGUCCCCUCUCUGACCUGUGUUUUUUCUUCCCUGGAACAACAAAGAGGCUUUGGAAUUUCAAGGUCGUUUUCUAUCUGGGCUGUGGAGCAGGCGAUGGGAUGAAAGCCUUCUCAAGGGCCUCGGGUCCUGGAGUUGAUGGUUUAGACUCAGGCACAGACAUAAACACACGUGACUGACGUCAACAUGUGGCUCUCAGCCCCCGCGCAGAGCUGGGUGGUCCCCGGGAGCAGCACUGGGAGAGGCCACCGGCUCACUGAGCCCCUGGCAGCGGCCAGGCUCACAAUGGGAUUUUGUCCAGUGCUGACCCCUCCCCCUGACCUGGAGUCUAACGCGUGCAACCGGGUGCUGGGCAGAUGCGGGGUGCGGCAGAAGGCAAGUCCUGGUUGAGUCUGUCAUGGUGUCCCCCAAUUCAUGUUGAGCUGCCUCCCUUGUAGUGGGAGCAAGAGGUUUGGGGAAGUGAUCAGGUCACAAGGGCUGGCAGGAACUAGCUAGGCCUCUUUCCACCCUUCUGUUCCUCCUGCCCCAGUGGGCACAGCCCCCAGGGCUCUGUCAGAGAGCAGAGAGCAGGCCUCAUCAGACCCUGAGCCUGCCUGGGGCACCUGCUGUUGGAGUCCCGCCCCCCAAGCUCCCCUGCAACUGGGAGAAACACAUCUCCGCUCCGACAGAGUGCCCAGGCUCAAGGUGCUUACAGCAGCCCCGAUGGACUCAGAGAGUCACAGAUCCAUCUACCAAACCAUGGGAGGCUGCAUGGGGCCUCGACCCCUGUCCAGAACCUCCCAGGUGACAGAGACUAUAAGAAGGACUGUGGAACAGGAAGGGGACAUUAGUUGUGGGGGGCGCUCUUCAGCAGUUUGGUCCACAUUGGUGACAGGGACAGCCCUCUAAUUCCUGUGAGGGGUAAGGUCCCUCAAACUGGGCUUGUCUGUCCACAUGCUGAGCACAUGAAGACACAUUUGAUGCACAGGGCACCUUGCUGGAAAGAAUUUCUGCAGCUCAGGAUGACAAAGCAGAAAUAAGGAGACGGUAUUAGCGACAUCCGUGUCAUAAGCCACAGAUGAGCCCAUUUGCAGGAGGGCUGCCAUCAGGGGUCUGCUCUCCUGAGCCUGGGCAGCCGCGCCCCGACUUCUGGGGCCCAGGUUCCCUGCGACAGCUGCCAUCAGGUCAGUCACUCCUGAGAGCCCAGCAUGGCAGCUGCAUUCCCAGGACUCCUGCUUCCUGGCCCUGGCUAGUCUUGAAGCCAGGUGGCUCAGCCCUGAACAGUGCAUGUCCCCUCCAGAUUGCCAUGGACCUAGAGUGACAGGGAAAAUGUGUUUUUAUUUGUUUUGUUUUGUUCUCAAAAAGCAAAGUUCCUAUUUGUGUUCUAUAAUCCAGGCUCGUCUCCGAGUUGCCCGCCCACAGCCCAGCCCAUCGGAGCCCAUCAGAGAGAGGGAGGCUGCUGGACACAGGGGGUCAGGGCACUGGGCACAGGGCUCUGUGGCUGGACAGGUCCUGCCCACCUUGUUCAGGAGGCCUGUGGUUAAGCUAGUGCCAGGCUCCCCCGGUGGAGGGGAGGGGAGCACAGUGACCAUGUCUGUGGUCCUAUUCCUGAGCGAGGUCACAAAUCUGGGCUAAUAUUUUAUAGAGGGGGUCAGGGCAUGCUCAGGAUAGGCUUAGAAAACUUCCUGGAGAAGAGGGUGGCGGUGCUCAAGAGGCAGGGGAGCAGGCUGCGGACUGGCAAGGCCCUCGCAAUGCAGAGUACUCUCUUGCCCGCGAUAUGCCACACCUCUCCUCCAGGGGCAGAGCUGUCCCUCUCCCCCCAGCUCCCCAGAGCCUCGGGGCUCAGGAAUGAAGGGCUUAAGAUGGGUGCAGUGGAGACCUGUCUCCCGUCUCCCUGCUGAUUCUGGGCCACACCAGGCAGCCAUUGAGAGUAUGGCCCUUGUCUAUGACACAGCACUUCCUGGAGGGAAGACACAUUUGAUGCACAGGGCACCUUGCUGGAAAGAAUUUCUGCAGCUCAUGGUGACAAAGCGGAAAUAAGGAGAUGGUAUUAGUGGCAUCCAUGGCAUCCAGAGUUUGGCGGCUGCCUUAAUUGAGAUGCUGUCUCAGCUGGUCCAGAGUCCUUCUUACAGGGCUGCCACCCAGAUGAUGACCACCCAACGGGAGACGGCUGGGCAGGAAAGCGCGACACCGGGGCAGGGAGUGAUUUAUAGAUCCUUCCAGGGGCAGGAGCUUGCCGUCGCUUGCAGAGCUGGCCCCACACUCCUGCAGCGUUGCACCAGCGACAUCAUCACGCUUCCUCUCAUUCAUCCUCGCACUUUUGGAUUAGGAAGGAGAGAUUAAUUGUGUGGGGGACCCUCAGCAAUUUGCUGAACCUCUGCAUUCCUGACAUUAAUCUUUCCCCAAGUGCCCUAUCAUUAACUUGAAAAAUCAACCGGGCAAAACCUUAGAGUAGGUUCAUGCAAAUGAGAAUACAUAAAUAGCACGCGGAGAGGAGCUGGGAAGGCCGCCGGGCUUCCUGGGCACCUGUGGCGGAGUGUCGCGGGAGCCCCCUUCGCAAGCCUUCAUCUGUGGAACGUGUCCCUUGUCCACAGCUUGUUAGAGUCGUUUCUUUUUGGCGUGGGUCAGGGAAAGGCAUGAAAACAUUUCUAUUUUCAAAUAAUGCAAAUAAAAAAUCCCUCUUCGGAGGAAACGCCCCGUGCUGUUGGAACUCGGUGGCCAGGGCUUCACCUAGGUUCUCUUCAAUCCAGAAAGAAAAAUCGCAGGAGAUUGCUUGCCUUGAGACUUUCCCACAUGACAGCAAUUCUUACCGUGCCAGAAGUGGUUCAUCUUGUUGUAUGGGAAGUUGGCUAAAGCACUGCAUUGAGGUAACAACUUUGGAAGUUUUGAGUCUCUUUUUCUGAAAACACUCUUCCAUGCAUAGAUUUGUUCUUAGGUAAGUAAAGGUCUUGAUUUGUGCACACUAAAUCAUGGUGACCAGCUGUGUAGAAAAACAGCUGUGUGUUCUACUAGGACAACAUGGCCCUCGAGCCGGGGCUCUGAGGGGAGGCCCCUGGCUGGCCAUUGCAGGUGCCUGGCUUUGCUCUACCCACUCCUCUGUGCAGUGCCCUCAUGGUGGCCAACGGACUGAAGGCAAACUGCCCAUGCGGGUUGAGAAGGACACACCCGCUGUUCCACUGACUACUUAUGAACGAGGCCUUUUGAAAAAUCUGCACUCAGCUGAAUCUUCCCGUGCACUGCCAUGGACAUACUCACCAGCUACCUGAGUCAGGUAGAGCAGGAUACAGCCAGGUCAAAUGGACACAUGGAAUAAGAGAUCUGAGAAAGGGGAAAUUAGAGAGAUGCUGGAAUUUGGAUGUUUUUCUAGAUUUCAUUAAAAGGUAAAAAUAUAAAUCAUCUGAAACCUGUAAAGUUUUUGAUUGGAACAAACCUUAAAGUGAAGUUUAAAAUGAAAAGUAAUUCACCAUAGAUUAUAUUUUCUUCUUAUUAAAUUUUACAUGGUAGUGUCAUCAAGUUAAAACCUCACAAAGGCCUGGGUUUUAAAAAAAGGCAUGUGGUUUUUUCCCAAUUAUUGGUUCGCUUAAUAUUUAUGGAGAGCCUCCGGAGUGUACAUCCCCGUGUUCAACAGGAAAAUUGUGGAGAAACAUCGAACUUAGGCCAAGACACACUCUCCAGUGAUGGAUCACGUCAUCACAUGGAAGCCGGCAUAGGCAGAGCCUGUGAGCGCAGCCUCUGGUCCAUCUGCUGAUGUCUAGCCAAGAGGGACAGAGAAUGACUAGUCACUUCAUGGUCACGCAUUUGUUUGAACUUUGGUUACCAACUCAAUUAAUAAUUUAUUUUAAAUAAGCUAAAUGUUCAGCCUAUGUUAAAGUCAUUUGCAUUCAUGUGCAAGGUAAAUAUGUUUGAAUUUUUAAUACUCUUUUGUAUAUCAACCCCAUUUGACUAAAACUUGGUGGAAACAUCUUUAUUUCACACAGAUCAUUUCCUUAAACUAAAAGCAACCCCAAGGAAGUACACAGCACCCGUUAAGUGCCGGGCAGUGCGCAUGUGCACACAGACACACAAGCCCUCUGAAGAGCCAUGGGAGGGAGUCCCUGUCACCUGCAUGAUUCGACCACAUGGAGCCUGCACUGCACCAGAGCGUAAGCAG
Molecule: long non-coding RNA, 7288 nt
Filed under: Marmota monax (woodchuck)
Lineage: Eukaryota; Metazoa; Chordata; Mammalia; Rodentia; Sciuridae
Source: RNAcentral